This 253-nucleotide ribosomal RNA is filed under the name uncultured bacterium. Its description in RNAcentral is "partial 16S ribosomal RNA". It matches the Rfam family "Bacterial small subunit ribosomal RNA", at positions 524 to 776 of the family's 1533-position model. The record is from RNAcentral.
AACGUAGGACACGGGCGUUAUCCGGAGUUACUGGGCGUAAAGGGCGAGUAGGUGGUGCGAUAAGACUGGUGUGAAAGCCUUCGGCUUAACCGAGGGAGGACACUGGUGACUGUCGGACUUGAGGCAGAUAGAGGGGUGUAGAAUUCCGGGUGUAGUGGUGAAAUGCGUAGAGAUCCGGAGGAAUACCAGAGGCGAAGGCGGCACCCUGGGUCUGACCUGACACUGAUCCGCGACAGCAUGGGGAGCGAACGGG